GACCAUAGCUAUAGUGGAGGCUGUUUCACCUGAGUUGGGAAAUCGGGUUCAACGAGUUCGGGUUCAAUUGCCAGGACUUAGCCAGGAGCUUCUUCAGAAGUUCAGGGAAAAGAACAUUGACUUUGCAGCCCAUAAUGCUCAAGAAGAUUCUGGUUCUUUGUUAUUCAACUUGAUUGGGAAUCUGGCGUUCCCGUUGAUCUUGAUUGGAGGACUAUUCCUUCUCUCAAGACGAUCAUCUGGAGGAAUGGGUGGUCCAGGUGGACCUGGCUUCCCACUUGCAUUUGGUCAAUCAAAGGCAAAAUUCCAAAUGGAACCAAUCACAGGUGUGACAUUUGACGAUGUUGCUGGAGUUGAUGAAGCCAAGCAGGAUUUCAU
RNAcentral lists this long non-coding RNA (375 nucleotides) under Carica papaya (papaya). RNAcentral describes it as "long non-coding RNA (CPAP_LNC015763)". The record is from RNAcentral. Lineage: Eukaryota; Viridiplantae; Streptophyta; Magnoliopsida; Brassicales; Caricaceae.